AAAAAGAGUAAGGUCCAGAGGCAGAGAAUCCAAGUUCUGUCACAGGGACAGCUAGAUUGCUCCCAUCCUGUUCCAGCCACUGGAAGCCAAAGGAGCUCUGUGACUCAUCAAAAUUCCUCAUGCCUGUGUCUUGUCUCAGCAGAGAAGCACCAGCAGCUCUAACUCCCUAAUUCUUGAGGCAGGACAGAACUUGUUGGAGAAGUACAGCCUGUCUCCUCUCCAGGAAACCCCUCCUCGCUUCCUCUCUUGAUGCUGAGAUAAAAAGCUGCUGGCAAAGAAGCAGAGCCAAACAAGGUUCUGGCAUGGAAAAUGGCUCUCGUAGCACUGCCAGAAGAAGGGAAUGCUGGAAAGAAGAUUCCUGGAGAGGGCUGAACUUCACUUUGCACCAUGCAAGCAGCACAAUGUGAGGCUGAAGAUGAACAGAUCCUGUUCUCAAAACCGCUAGGAGAUCGUAGAUGGAGUAACAUAGAAAUGCUUGAAUUUUAUCUAUACCAAUGGAGUAAAAUGUAUUUACUGUAUUUGCAAAGUGACGAGCAGUUCAGUGGAGCUUCAGUAUUAAGUAUCAUUUACACCUGCUUUCUGGCUUGUUAGUGUCAGUAAGCAAAAUUCAAGUGUAUAUUGUCUUCUUCACACAGAUACAGGGAAAAAUUCUAGCAUGAAGGCUUUUUGAUGCUCAUAAAAACUAUUUGCUUAAGGACAAACUUCAGAGGAAUGAAAAUUUUACAGUAUCUCCCGAUUUUUGUCAGGCUGACUGUGUGUCACAGAAAUUACUUUUCUUGAGACAUUUCUGUGCUUCUUUCACCAAAACUUAGGAAUUAAAAAAAAAAAAAAAAGAAGAAAGCAUUCAUAAUGGGCAUGAAAUACUUAUUUUCAGCUAUCUGAAGUACUUGUCAAAUCUCUGGAAAACAUAUGGGGUUUGUCUAUCUUCAAUUUAGGCCCUUAGGUUUCUCCAGAUUUGUGGAUGCUAUCAUUAAUACUUAGUCAUAGCACAGAGCAGCACUUUUGCUUUACUUCUAUUAGGUUUGGGUGUUUUGCCUGCUGCAAGUGAAAACAGAAAAAUAUUAAGAACCAGAAAUGAAUGUGGAAAAAUCUUUGAAAAUAAACUAACUCCAAUGCUUUAAAUUGUUAGAAAUAAGACAUAUGUAAAUGAUUUGUUUGUGUUUGUUUAAAGAAGUUCUGUUUAAUGUUAAUUUAGUGAAAUUCAACCAUUGCAUAAACUUCUAAGAAUUAUCUGAAGAUUCCUAGGAAGAUUAAUUGGUCUUUUUUUUUUUUUUUUUGGAAUGGUACUUGCUUGCUACUUUUUGAAAUAAAGUUGAAGAGAAUGAGACUACAUAAAAUUUUGAAUCCUUCUUAACCAACAAAAGAAAACACAAAGUAUAAUGCAAAAUACUUUGGCUGAUUUGACUAAAAUAUGUUUAAUCCCAUGCAGCUGUGCAGAAUUGAAAGUAAGGCGAGCUCCCGAGCACCUUUGUAGACAGCUCUGAGCCCACAGCAAAUCAGUGAUCACAGAAAUGGUCCUGACACUUCUGGACAGGGCUGGCUGCAAGCACAAGCAUUUAAAAAAGGGGAGAGCUGCUGGUUAAAAUUAGAUGUCAGUGCAAACCUCCUUGUCUUGCAGUGGAAGUGCUGCAGGGAGAGGAGCACGGCAGCACGUGGUGAACGCAAGCCUUUGCUGCAGACACCGCUGUGUGCAUGCACGCUGGCACGUGUGCCUGCAGAGGCACACAGAAACACAGGAAUAUACACACGUGCUCAGAAGAUGUGGUUUUCUACACUCCAGUGGUGCCUCUGUGACUGUUUCACUACAGCCCUGGAUAGACACAGCAGGGUCGCUACACACACGGUUACACAGGACUUGUUUUAACCUCAGAUGGGGACAUUCAAAACAAAUUUGUUGCCAGAUCCCAAAACUGUG
Melospiza melodia melodia is the source of this 1915-nucleotide long non-coding RNA. RefSeq lists it as uncharacterized. The transcript has 3 exons. Lineage: Eukaryota; Metazoa; Chordata; Aves; Passeriformes; Passerellidae. The record is from RefSeq and is a predicted model, not a curated record.